AGAGUUUGAUCAUGGCUCAGAUUGAACGCUGGCGGCAGGCCUAACACAUGCAAGUCGAGCGGUAACAGAAAGUAGCUUGCUACUUUGCUGACGAGCGGCGGACGGGUGAGUAAUGCUUGGGAACAUGCCUUGAGGUGGGGGACAACAGUUGGAAACGACUGCUAAUACCGCAUAAUGUCUACGGACCAAAGGGGGCUUCGGCUCUCGCCUUUAGAUUGGCCCAAGUGGGAUUAGCUUGUUGGUGAGGUAAUGGCUCACCAAGGCAACGAUCCCUAGCUGGUUUGAGAGGAUGAUCAGCCACACUGGAACUGAGACACGGUCCAGACUCCUACGGGAGGCAGCAGUGGGGAAUAUUGCACAAUGGGCGAAAGCCUGAUGCAGCCAUGCCGCGUGUGUGAAGAAGGCCUUCGGGUUGUAAAGCACUUUCAGUCAGGAGGAAAGGGUGUGAGUUAAUACCUCACAUCUGUGACGUUACUGACAGAAGAAGCACCGGCUAACUCCGUGCCAGCAGCCGCGGUAAUACGGAGGGUGCGAGCGUUAAUCGGAAUUACUGGGCGUAAAGCGUACGCAGGCGGUCUGUUAAGCGAGAUGUGAAAGCCCCGGGCUCAACCUGGGAACUGCAUUUCGAACUGGCAAACUAGAGUGUGAUA
RNAcentral lists this ribosomal RNA (650 nucleotides) under uncultured bacterium. RNAcentral's name for it is "bacterial SSU rRNA". It matches the Rfam family "Bacterial small subunit ribosomal RNA", at positions 8 to 653 of the family's 1533-position model. The record is from RNAcentral.